RNAcentral lists this ribosomal RNA (1439 nucleotides) under metagenome. Its description in RNAcentral is "bacterial LSU rRNA". It matches the Rfam family "Bacterial large subunit ribosomal RNA", at positions 1464 to 2925 of the family's 2925-position model. The record is from RNAcentral.
CUGUGGGGACGCAUGUGGAAAGCGUAAGCCGGGAAUGGAAAGACCGGUACAAGCGAGGUAGGUGUGUGACAGGCAAAUCCGUCACAUAAGCCGAAGACGUGAUGUGGAGCGAAAUUAAGUAGUGAAGUAUGUGAGCCAUGUGCCGAGAAAAGCCGCUAUUGUUUUAUAUGUGCCCGUACCGUAAACCGACACAGGUGGAUGAGGAGAGAAUCCUAAGGCCGACGGAAGAAGCAUUGUUAAGGAAUUCGGCAAAAUGACCCCGUAACUUCGGGAGAAGGGGUGCCCACUGAAUGGUGGGCCGCAGAGAAUAGGCUCAAGCAACUGUUUAGCAAAAACACAGGUCUAUGCGAAACCGAAAGGUGAAGUAUAUGGGCUGACGCCUGCCCGGUGCUGGAAGGUUAAGAGGAGAGGUUAGCGCAAGCGAAGCUUUGAAUUUAAGCCCCAGUAAACGGCGGCCGUAACAAUAACGGUCCUAAGGUAGCGAAAUUCCUUGUCGGGUAAGUUCCGACCCGCACGAAAGGCGUAAUGAUUUGAGCACUGUCUCGACAAUGCAUCCGGUGAAAUUGAAGUACCAGUGAAGAUGCUGGUUACCCGCGCCAGGACGGAAAGACCCCAUGGAGCUUUACUCCAGUUUGAUACUGGGAUUCGGUACUGCACGUACAGGAUAGGUGGGAGACUGAGAACUAUGGACGCCAGUCUGUAGGGAGUCGCUGUUGGGAUACCACCCCUGUAGUACUGGGUUUCUAACCAUCUGCCGUGAUCCGGCAGUGGGACAAUGUCAGGCGGGGAGUUUGACUGGGGCGGUCGCCUCCGAAAGGGUAUCGGAGGCGCUCAAAGGUUCCCUCAGAAUGGUCGGAAACCAUUUGAAGAGUGCAAAGGCAGAAGGGAGCUUGACUGCGACACCGACGGGUGGAGCAGGUACGAAAGUAGGACUUAGUGAUCCGGUGGUAUAAAGUGGGAUUGCCAUCGCUCAACGGAUAAAAGCUACCCUGGGAUAACAGGCUUAUCACUCCCAAGAGUUCACAUCGACGGAGUGGUUUGGCACCUCGAUGUCGGCUCAUCGCAUCCUGGGGCUGUAGCAGGUCCCAAGGGUUGGGCUGUUCGCCCAUUAAAGCGGUACGCGAGCUGGGUUCAGAACGUCGUGAGACAGUUCGGUCCCUAUCCGGCGCGGGCGGAGGAUAUUUGAGAGGAGCUGUCCUUAGUACGAGAGGACCGGGAUGGACGGACCACUGGUGUAUCUGUUGUCGACCAACGGCAUGGCAGAGUAGCCAAGUCUGGAAGGGAUAAACGCUGAAGGCAUCUAAGCGUGAAGCCCCCCUCAAGAUGAGAUAUCCCUCCUUCGGGAGUAAGACCCCUUGAAGACUACAAGGUAGAUAGGGCAGAGGUGGAAGUGUGGCAACACAUGGAGCUGACUGUUACUAAUAGGUCGAGGGCUUGAC